UAAAAUCGUGUCGGUGGAUCAUUC
RNAcentral lists this ribosomal RNA (24 nucleotides) under Strongyloides stercoralis. Its description in RNAcentral is "partial 5.8S ribosomal RNA". Lineage: Eukaryota; Metazoa; Nematoda; Chromadorea; Rhabditida; Strongyloididae. The record is from RNAcentral.